UGUCUGAGAGUAUCAUGUUUCGAUCUGAAACGCAGUGAGGUUAUUUCAUUAUGACCCAUCACGCUGGCGUAACUGUUUGGGAAUCGUGAAGGAGCGUGCGUGUGUUGCUUCCUCACCCAGCAACACACAUCGUAACGCUCCGCAGGACUGGUGUUUGGGUGGACUCAUUCGAACGUCGGUGAUGCGGUACGCUCAGUCCUAAUUUUGUGUGCGUCAUACACCCGAGGCAGUCGCAAGAUUGCUUCGAGGCGACACGAAUUCCACGGACUUGCGUGCUUUAGCUGCCGAUGUUUGGUCUGUUCUGUAUAGCCCCGCCUGGUUCUUCAUGCCCUGAACCUGUCAGUGUAUUCAUUGCUGAGGCAUGUGUCAGUCUCUCGGCGCACUUUUCUGAAAUGUGUGAUCCUCAUGUGAAGGUUGUGAUCUGUGCGAGUUCAGAGACGCGCCAGUGUCUGUUCGCUGGUGCCAGUGUCUGUUCGCUGGUGCAUAUCAAUGGCUUGAAUCCAUCAGUCACGUCUCGAAACACGGGCCAAGGAGCAUAGCAUGUGCGCAAGUCUAAGGGUCAUACAAAACCUGCAGGCGAAGUGAAAGCGAUCUGGUGUGUGAUCUCGAGAGUCAGUGGACCUGUUGUGCUGUGUGGGCGUGUGUGUUAACGCAUGCGCGUUCGUGCCACGACGGAAUCCCGGACUCUCUUGCUCGUCACAGCCAGGGCGGGAUGCAUCAUAUCCCGUUCACGGUGGUCUCGGUAAAACGUGGCUGCUCUCUGUGUACUGGUGUUGAAUAUGGCAUGUUGCCGCUUAAACAGAGUUGAUCCUGAAUCACGUUCCGUAAUGCACGGGUUUUGCGGUGCGAAAGCACUGUCAGCGUGAGAAAGGCGCAAACUCCACGCCAUCCAAAGUAAUGUGCCUUGGCCUUCACGGGCUUUGGUGCGUGUGUGAUGGCAGUGUGGAGCGUGCAUGCUAUUACCCGAAAGAUAGUGAACUAUGCUUGGCGAGGGUGAAGCCCCAGGAAACUGGGGUGAAGGC
This 1022-nucleotide ribosomal RNA is filed under the name Paracalliope fluviatilis. RNAcentral describes it as "partial large subunit ribosomal RNA". It matches the Rfam family "Eukaryotic large subunit ribosomal RNA", at positions 504 to 874 of the family's 3401-position model. The record is from RNAcentral. Lineage: Eukaryota; Metazoa; Arthropoda; Malacostraca; Amphipoda; Paracalliopiidae.